AAAAUCAGCAAGAAUAAUGCCUCACUUGCUUUCUUGUUGAAGCUCUUGCUCUAGUGCAGAUGUUGACACCUUCUUACUGUAGAUGUGCCUUUCACAUGUUUGCUGAGAUGUUUCAUCACGUCAAAACAAAAAACCUGGCCUUAUGAAAUUCCAUCAAAAUAGCUUAGUGAUUGCUACUGCAAGGCGUACAUCGGGCUACUUGGGGCUGGUCAUCACAAUCAGCCACGACAUGAUAGUUGCCAUCAAGAGCGCCGACCGCAAGAGCCUGAGUAACAGCCUCAAUAUUUUAUAUGUUUGAUGAUGUAAAAUUGAUUGUACUUGUUCAUA
Molecule: long non-coding RNA, 327 nt
Organism: Triticum dicoccoides
Lineage: Eukaryota; Viridiplantae; Streptophyta; Magnoliopsida; Poales; Poaceae
Exons: 3
Source: RefSeq, a predicted model, not a curated record